Non-coding RNA from Amborella trichopoda, 3352 nucleotides. The record is from RefSeq and is a predicted model, not a curated record. NCBI's taxonomy places the organism in Eukaryota, Viridiplantae, Streptophyta, Magnoliopsida, Amborellales, Amborellaceae.
AAUCAUAUAUUUGUCUCAUAUUUUUGUACAAUUAGGCCUUAAGCCCCUAUGAAGAUGUAUUAUUGAGCUUAACAAAGAUGUGAACAAGAACCCCAAUUUAUAAGGUAACAAAAUUGUAUAAUACUAUAGAAACUAACAUAUGCAAGGAACUACAUUCCUAAUAUAUGAGAACACAUAAAAAAAAGGAAAAUAUUAUUCCUAAAAACGAAGUGCAGGUUUCUAAUUUCCACACUCCCCCUCAAACUCAAGAUGAGUUAAGAGAGAGAACCUUGAGUUUGGACAUCUGAACGCAAUCUUCUAUACAAAGCAGGUAUAGAAGACCAGUUGCAUAAAUGAACGAGUUGGAUCUUCAAGUCUUCAGGUGCAUGGUGUGACUGACAGAAGCAGUGACCUCAGGAACAAACGGCAUCAGGUCUCAGGAGUAGAUGACCUCAGGAGCAAACGGCCCCAAGAACAAAAGAUGGCCUCAAGAACAUCUGGGAUCGAGAAAUUCGGUCAUCAAACAGGAGGCCGGUGGAAGAGCCAAUAGAAAUCAGCGGUAGAUCAAUAGUUGGACAUUAGAUUUAGAGUUGAGAACAAUAAAAUCCAAAAUAAAUCAGGGAGUCGUAACACAACUUGAUAGAGAGACAGAUCAGAGAGUCAAAACACGACUUGACAAAGAGAGAGUUAAGACAGUUGAACCACGACUCGGUAGAGAGACAGAUCAAAGAGUCGAAACAUGACUUGACAGAGAGACAGAUCAGAUAGUCAAAACACGACUCGGUAGAGCGACAAAUUAAAAAGUUGAAAACACAACUCCGUGGAGAGAAAUAAGAGAAAUCAUGCCAUUUCUGACACUCAAAUUCUAGAUAGAGUGCCAUUAGCUUAAUGGGAACAAGCCGAAAAGAUUCGGAUUUGUCCAUAGGAAAGAAAAUUGAGUCGGUAUUUUGGGGGUCACAAAAGUAUGGUGCUGAUUUUUUUUUUUUUUUUCAAUUUGGUCGAACAAAAGAGACAAUAGGAAUCUCCAAUCUUGCAAGUCCAAAUGACCAAAGUGGACCAUCAAAAAAACCAAUAUGGACCACCUACGCUGUUUUUUCAAAGCAAAAGAACGCCUUCAAGGAAACAUAUGGAAAAGAAAGAACGGGAAGAGAGGGAAAGAAGGGAAGAGAGGGAAAGGCAGGGUUUUCUGAUGGGCUUGCACGCAAAGAAUGACAGAGAUGUUACAGGGAAGAAAACGGGGGCAAAUAGAGACAGAGUUCAACACGGAUAAGAGAGAGAGAGGAAUGGACUGAGACAAAUCAGAGAAAGAGAGAGAUCAGAGAAAGAAUUAGUUCUGAAGUUUGGUGAUAUGGAGAGUUUGAGAGGGAGACCCGCAAGAACAGGGCUCUGUUUUCUGGAAGUUUCUGAAAUUUUAGAGAGAGAGAGAAAACAACCCAGAAUUCCGAGUGUUUGCGGUGGAGAGAGAGAGUGAAAGAAGACGGUGACAACACGAGAACAGGGCUGGAGGGUUUUCCUUGGGUGUCAAGAAAAGAGAAGAGAAGAGAAGUAAAAGAAUCGUCAUGCCAUCUCCUUUGCUGCUCUUCUUUUCUCUCUCGAUCUGUUAUGACCAAAUUGGGUUCUUUGAUUCGCAGGCUGAGAAUGUGAUCGCCUCUAUUACUUGAAAAUGGGUUCCUUUCGUAUCCUUCAAAUUGGCCCCUGCCAAAGACCCUAGAACUACGGCCUCUGGUUUCAUGGGGAUUUGCAGACAGAGAGGGAUUUCUGGGUUUAAAAGAGAUUUGCAGAUAUAGGGAGAGAAGGUUAGGGCUUCAGAGAGAGAGGACAGUACAGAGACAUAGCGAGAGCAAGAAAGAGAAAGAGAGAGAGAUCUGAGAGGCAGAAAUAGAGAGAGAUCUGAAAGGCAGAAAGAGAGAGAAAAUAGGGAUAUCAGAUCUCACAUCUGCUUUGAGAAAUAGCAGAGAUCUUGAGAGAGAAAGAUCAGAGAGACAGAUUAGAGAGAUAGAUGGCAGAAGGAUAUGGAUUAGGGCUUCGAUGAGAGUGAUAGAGGGUUGCAAAGCCCUGCCGUGAAGGGGGUUAGAGAGAGAGGGCGCAUCAAGCUUCUAACAAGAGAGAGCUGAAGGGUCGUUGCAAACACAACUUUUGACGUGACUGUUGUGGUUGCCAACGUUGGGAAAAACUUUUGUGGAUGCAAACGAAAUUGGGGAAUUACAGGUAAGGAGCUGAUAUCAAUGGUACUGGAAUUUUGGAAACAAAUUUAAUUCGUAAGUGACUCUUAUGGGAAACUAUAUUUCUGUAUAAUAGUGCAUUAAGCCCUUAUGAAAAUUAAUUAUUGAGCUUAACAAAGAUGUGAACAAUUUAUAAGGUUACAAAAUUGUAUAGUACUAUAAAAACUAACAUAGGAAAUGAACGACUUUCUUAAAAUGUGAGAACACAUAAAAAGAAGAAAAAUAUUGCUCCUAAAACCUAAAACCUAAAUGCAAGUUUUUAACUUCCACAGCAACUUCAUCACAGGGUCAAUGUUACUAUUUUUCCCGGGGUUAAUUGAUCAACAAAUUAGAUCACCUGAAAUUUCUGACACAGCUUGUCAGGCUAUGACCGUCUUUACAAAACUCUAAUCAGCAUCAAAAUAUUUUGUGGGAUCACCUUGAUAGUAUUUCUUGCUCGUCAGCAACGAGUCUACUCACAACAACCGCAUAAUAUUUGAAUCAUAUUAUACUUAUUUAGUCUAUUCACAACCACCUCAUAAUAUUUGAAUCAUAUUAUACUGAUUUUGGGUGGUUAUCAGAUUGCAAAUAGUUGCAUGGUGUUUCUAGACACUGUGCCACUCCCAUUGAUCCGGUCAUUUAUCAAAGGUUUCAACCUCUAUUAAGACUGGGCUGGGUGACUAAGCACUCAGCGUUCAACCACAAGUUUAUGCACCUAUCUUGGUUCCAGCUGCAUAUCUUGGACUGUUAAGAAAUAAUCAACGUGGCUCGUUCAAGUGUUGAAAUGGAAUACCAGUCUACAACAUCCACUACUGCAGAAUUGACAUGGCUUUUUUUUAUUCUUCGGGAUAUUGAGGUGCCUCUUCUUCAGCCACUAACACUUUUUGGUGACAAUAUAAAUGCUCUUUACAUGACAGUUAAUCAUGUUUUUCAUGUACUAAUAAAGCACAUUGAGUUAGACUAUCAUUUUGUGUGUGGAAAAGUUGCUCUUGGAUUACUUAUCACACGAUUUGUUUCCUCUCACAAUUAAGUAGCUGAUAUCUUUACCAAGUCUUUGCCACAAGAUGUUUUUCAAGAUCUUUACUUCAAAUGCAUCCUCAAUCGAAUUUGAGGAGGUGUAAUGGAAACAACAUUUAAACAAGAUAGGAAAGUAUAUUUCUCUUUCCUUUUGA